This 498-nucleotide ribosomal RNA is filed under the name uncultured bacterium. RNAcentral's name for it is "partial 16S ribosomal RNA". It matches the Rfam family "Bacterial small subunit ribosomal RNA", at positions 28 to 508 of the family's 1533-position model. The record is from RNAcentral.
GAUGAACGCUGGCGGCGUGCCUAAUACAUGCAAGUCGAGCGAACGGACGAGAAGCUUGCUUCUCUGAUGUUAGCGGCGGACGGGUGAGUAACACGUGGAUAACCUACCUAUAAGACUGGGAUAACUUCGGGAAACCGGAGCUAAUACCGGAUAAUAUUUUGAACCGCAUGGUUCAAAAGUGAAAGACGGUCUUGCUGUCACUUAUAGAUGGAUUCGCGCUGCAUUAGCUAGUUGGUAAGGUAACGGCUUACCAAGGCAACGAUGCAUAGCCGACCUGAGAGGGUGAUCGGCCACACUGGAACUGAGACACGGUCCAGACUCCUACGGGAGGCAGCAGUAGGGAAUCUUCCGCAAUGGGCGAAAGCCUGACGGAGCAACGCCGCGUGAGUGAUGAAGGUCUUCGGAUCGUAAAACUCUGUUAUUAGGGAAGAACAUAUGUGUAAGUAACUGUGCACAUCUUGACGGUACCUAAUCAGAAAGCCACGGCUAACUACGUGC